CCCUGCUGUACCUGGAGAGCCCACAGGAGUCCGUGCGAGAGGCGGCCCUCAAGUUCAUUGGGAUCGCCGGGAGGUACCUGAGGGGACAGUACCAAGAGCUGCAGCUCAUCAUCGAUGCCCUUCAAGCCACGACAGAUGACAGCAGCCCCACUGUCUCCAAGCUGGCGCUUGAAACCAUCUCCUUUGUUGGAGCUGUACAGAGAGCUCCCUACCCCAGGUUCCAGCAGCUCCAAGACCAGCUCAGCAGGGCAUGGAGUACCCGGCCUUCUCUGUGGGGCUGAGUCUGCCUGUGCCGCUGUAGCUGUGUGCAGAGUUGAUGCAGGCAGCUCUGUCUGUUGGGGCCACCUGAGCCUGUGGGGAAGACGCCUCUUCUCUGCAAGCCCUUCCUUCUACCCCAGUGUAGAAAUAUUAAACAAAUCUUGUCAUCUACAGAGGCCCAGGAGCUUUUUUUGGGUGCCGGCCAGGGGCAGGGGCACAGGCAGGGCCGUGGGCCAGCCCAGGCCCCCGUGGCUGCCCAGCCCAUGGGGCUGUGGCCCAGAGCCUGCUGAGCCAGAGCUCUGGGCCCGUGGAGGUGCUGCCAGCACGGGGAGGGCGCGGGGCUCCUCAGGCAGGGCCGCACAUUCGCUGCCGCCCAAGCCACAGACAAGAACAGCAGGCUGUGCACAGGAGCAGCAGCAGCCACAACGCCUGGGCCUCUUCAGCCAGGCACCCACAGGCGGCAGGCACAUGGAAGGAAGAAAAGCAGUUUCAAAGAUGGCCAGAGCAGUUGAAAGAGACGCUCAGAGAGACAGUGAGGGCCGAACACCUGCCAGGAACUGAAACAUUGUGAUGCUGGACAUAGAAAGACAGUUAGACCGGGAAGGCAGUUUUAAUAUUGUUAGUGCCUGUGUUAAAAUGGUUGUAUCCUGGGUUUUUCAAGUUUUAUUGUAUUUUUCCCCUCAUGUUUAAUCCCCAUUUUCCUAUUGGUCCAAGUUUGCUGCAUUGCAGAUGUUUCCCUCAUUGGGCCUUGCUCGUCCCAUGUUCUCUCCUUCCUUCCCCAGUUGGUUAUCACCCCUGUCAGUCCCAUGCUCCUCCCUGUUUUCCAGAACCUUCCCUACCUACCCCUUAAAUAGAGCUACCCCCCCCAAUAAAUUGUGAUAGCUCUGAGCUAAUCACCACUCUGCUGGAACCUCUUGAGUUUGUCACGUCGUUCUUUCCACAAUUGACUGCAGCACCCACACCGGCCAGCAUGCCAAAAGCGGGCAUGCUGUGGGCACAACUGCACCGGCUUUGGUCAAAGGCUUCAGGAAAAGGGGCCACGAGGCCUCUCUAUUGACUGCCCAGCCUCACAGCAACACUUGGCAGCUUCAGGGGCAGCCUGUCGUCCUGACUGACUUCCGUGGCCGUGCCUGAGGGCAGACUCACCUUCCACACUCAGGCAUCCCAAGGCAGUGGCGCUGGCGCCAUCCUUAGAGACUGCUAUGGCACAGGAGCCUUGGGGUGCAGCUGCUCAACCUCUCCUCCAGGCAGGCACAUUAAAAACACGGGCAUGGGCUUCUGAACUCAAAAUGCAGGCCUUUCUGGAGUGGAAGGAAGAAGC
Long non-coding RNA from Lepidothrix coronata (blue-crowned manakin), 1579 nucleotides. RefSeq lists it as uncharacterized. The transcript is spliced from 3 exons. NCBI's taxonomy places the organism in Eukaryota, Metazoa, Chordata, Aves, Passeriformes, Pipridae. The record is from RefSeq and is a predicted model, not a curated record.